ACGAACGCUGGCGGCAUGCCUAACACAUGCAAGUCGAACGAGACCUUCGGGUCUAGUGGCGCACGGGUGCGUAACGCGUGGGAACCUGCCCUUAGGUUCGGAAUAACUCCCCGAAAGGGGUGCUAAUACCGGAUAAUGUCUUCGGACCAAAGAUUUAUCGCCUUUGGAUGGGCCCGCGUUGGAUUAGCUAGUUGGUAGGGUAAAAGCCUACCAAGGCGACGAUCCAUAGCUGGUCUGAGAGGAUGAUCAGCCACACUGGGACUGAGACACGGCCCAGACUCCUACGGGAGGGAGCAGUGGGGAAUAUUGGACAAUGGGCGAAAGCCUGAUACAGCAAUGCCGCGUGAGUGAUGAAGGCCUUAGGGUUGUAAAGCUCUUUUACCCGGGAUGAUAAUGACAGUACCGGGAGAAUAAGCUCCGGCUAACUCCGUG
This 432-nucleotide ribosomal RNA is filed under the name uncultured bacterium. RNAcentral describes it as "partial 16S ribosomal RNA". It matches the Rfam family "Bacterial small subunit ribosomal RNA", at positions 29 to 507 of the family's 1533-position model. The record is from RNAcentral.